RNAcentral lists this small RNA (62 nucleotides) under Caenorhabditis elegans. RNAcentral's name for it is "Unclassified non-coding RNA T27A3.12". Lineage: Eukaryota; Metazoa; Nematoda; Chromadorea; Rhabditida; Rhabditidae. The record is from RNAcentral.
GACAUGAAUGGUGUCACCGGUAGCGUGUGUGUUUUGUGUGCAGCGGGUCGCUGGUUCGACCC